Molecule: transfer RNA, 67 nt
Filed under: Vibrio vulnificus
Lineage: Bacteria; Pseudomonadati; Pseudomonadota; Gammaproteobacteria; Vibrionales; Vibrionaceae
Description: tRNA-Arg
Rfam family: tRNA
About the family: Transfer RNA (tRNA) molecules are approximately 80 nucleotides in length. Their secondary structure includes four short double-helical elements and three loops (D, anti-codon, and T loops).
Source: RNAcentral
CUCGUAGCUCAGCUGGAUAGAGUACCUGGCUACGAACCAGGCGGUCAGAGGUUCGAAUCCUCUCGAG